Long non-coding RNA from Syngnathoides biaculeatus (alligator pipefish), 635 nucleotides. RefSeq lists it as uncharacterized. The transcript has 3 exons. The record is from RefSeq and is a predicted model, not a curated record. Lineage: Eukaryota; Metazoa; Chordata; Actinopteri; Syngnathiformes; Syngnathidae.
CCAGAUAACACCCGAAACUCUCCCCAAAAUCUUAUUCCUCGUUUAAGCAAUUUGCAAACUAGCGCUAAGCGUCAUUCACGCCAAUUGACGCCAUAUGAAAGCUUCGCGCUAACGCGCUAGCAGGGCACGCUAAAGCCAUCAAGGAGCAGACUUAAUUCUUUUCACCGACAAGUUUCUUAAACAUUUUCUCCGUUAAACCGGACGAGGCCGAGGCCAUCGACCUCGGGUUCAGAAUACGUUUGAGGUCAAAAAAGGAAGCGUGCUCACUAAAGGCAGCGCAGCGACACGGGUCAUGCUUGUCCAAGUAGUGCUCGAGCGUGUCCCAGCCGCCUCCGACCCGCACCAUCACGUGAGUCCGAAGGACCUGAGAGGAGAAGACGCAUAACGAGGUGUCAGCAGACAAAGAAAACAGACAAUCGCGUCACCGUUCUCCCCCAAAUGUAAGAUGGCAGAAUGAUUUUCAAGUAUUGCAGCCACUGAUCUAAAAAAAAAAAAAAAAAAAAAAAAAACAGCGGUAUGUCAAUUGGUUGAAGCCAGUCGGCCGCCAUCUUGGUACUCCCAAAACGUGUGAAGGACAUGGUUUAUAAUUUGGAUUAUGGCGGGGGGUUUUUUUCUCAAAUUUUGGCAUGUAGAAU